CAUGUCUUUUUGUUUAUAAUUUAAGGUCUGAUCUGCUCAAUGAUUAAUUAAAUUGCCGCAGUAUUUUGACUGUGCAAAGGUAGCAUAAUAAUUAGCUUUUUAAUUAGAAGCUGGAAUGAAAGAUUGGACGAGAAAAUUACUGUCUCUUUUUAAUUUUUAUUGAAUUUUAUUUUUAAGUCAAAAAGCUUAAAUUUUUAUAAAAGACGAGAAGACCCUAUAGAGUUUAAUAUUUAUUUUUUAUUAAUUAUUAGUAUUUUAUUUAAAAUUUAAGUAUUUAAUUGGGGUGAUUUGGAGAUUAAGUCAAUUCUCUUUAAUUUUAGUUGAUUAUUAUUAAAUUAUUAAUUUAAAUUUUUUAAAUUAAAUAUAAAUUACCUUAGGGAUAACAGCGUUAUUUUUCUUUAAAGUUCUUAUUGAAAGAAAAUUUUGCGACCUCGAUGUUGGAUUAAAAUAAAUUUUUGGUGCAGUAACUGAAGGAUUAGGUCUGUUCGACCUUUAAUAUUUUACAUGAUCUGAGUUUAAACCGGUGUAAGCCAGGUUGGAUUCUAUCUUUAGUUUUUAUAAAACAUUUUAGUACGAAAGGACCAAUUGUUUGUUAUAGUUAAUUA
Molecule: ribosomal RNA, 605 nt
Filed under: Conderis sp. UPOL A00602
Lineage: Eukaryota; Metazoa; Arthropoda; Insecta; Coleoptera; Lycidae
Also listed under: 1 other name
Description: partial 16S ribosomal RNA
Rfam family: Bacterial large subunit ribosomal RNA (bases 379-537)
Source: RNAcentral